This 506-nucleotide ribosomal RNA is filed under the name uncultured bacterium. Its description in RNAcentral is "partial 16S ribosomal RNA". It matches the Rfam family "Bacterial small subunit ribosomal RNA", at positions 29 to 523 of the family's 1533-position model. The record is from RNAcentral.
AGUGAACGCUGGCGGUAGGCCUAACACAUGCAAGUCGAACGGCAGCACAGGAGAGCUUGCUCUCUGGGUGGCGAGUGGUGUACGGGUGAGGAAUACAUCGGAAUCUACUCUGUCGUGGGGGAUAACGUAGGGAAACUUACGCUAAUACCGCAUACGACCUACGGGUGAAAGCAGGGGAUCUUCGGACCUUGCGCGAUUGAAUGAGCCGAUGUCGGAUUAGCUAGUUGGCGGGGUAAAGGCCCACCAAGGCGACGAUCCGUAGCUGGUCUGAGAGGAUGAUCAGCCACACUGGAACGGCAAAAAGGUCCAGACUCCUACGGGAGGCACACAAAAGCAAUAUUGGACAAUGGGCGCAAGAAGGUUCCAGCCAUACCGCGUGGGUGAAGAAGGCCUUCGGGUUAUACACAAAGGGAGUUGGGAAAGAAAUCCAGAGGGAUAAUACCCGGUUGGGAUGACGGUACCCAAAGAAUAAGCACCGGCUAACUUCGUGCCAGCCGCCGCCGUAA